UGAUUUUUGUUUCGGGCUGUUUUUUUUAUACACUAACAAACAAUGAAAUUGAAAUUAAAGAAAUGCUGUUGUUGGUGCGUCGAUUUGCGCUGUGGCUCUGUCGUAAUCUAUGUGAUCGAGUUCUUUUUUGCUGUCUGCGGUCUUUGCCUGGGUGAAUGGUCUGCAGAUAAUCACUUUUGGAUAGUGUUACGCAUAGGUUAUAUGAUGCACCUGCUUGGCACUGUUUUCCUUCUCAUGGGCAUCAUUUUAAAAUCGCCUGGCUUUUUGAUGGUUUAUUUGGUAACAAAUGGCAUACACGUUUUUACCAGCACCACAUACCUUACUCUCUUGGCUUUGCGAUGUGUUCGUUGUAUCUAUAUUGUUACGUUGUCAACUUUUGGUAUUGUGUGUAGCAUUUAUUCUUGGUUAGUUGUCUAUUCAUUUCGACUCAGAUGUAAAUGGGAACAAUCAAUAGACUAUGAUGGUUCGGCUUUCUAAGCGUAUAUAUAUUAAUAUAUAUUAAAAUGUUUUUUAAUCCAAAAUUCCACAUUUUUUUCACAUUUUAUGUGCAAA
Molecule: long non-coding RNA, 552 nt
Organism: Drosophila montana
Lineage: Eukaryota; Metazoa; Arthropoda; Insecta; Diptera; Drosophilidae
Exons: 4
Source: RefSeq, a predicted model, not a curated record